Molecule: long non-coding RNA, 318 nt
Organism: Bos taurus (domestic cattle)
Lineage: Eukaryota; Metazoa; Chordata; Mammalia; Artiodactyla; Bovidae
Source: Ensembl
AGGAAAUGGCAACCCACUCCAGUGUUCUUGCCUGAAGAAUCCCAGGGACGGGGGAGCCUGAUGGGCUGCCGUCUAUGUGGUCUCACAGAGUCGGACACGACUGAAGCGACUUAGCAGCAGCAGCAGGCAUCCUCCUCCGGGGGGCACCUGCAGCCCUAGCGAGGCCGAAGCUGAAGGCUUUCAGGGUUCACCCCAUCCCCGCCCACCCGCGUCCCCAAGACGGCGGCACCCUCUCGGUUUCGAAAGGGGAGCUCAGCGCCCACGGGCUGCCCUCUAGACGUUUCCAUUCUCCCGACGUUUAUAUGCUUCAGCGGCCAG